UACGUAGGGUGCAAGCGUUAAUCGGAAUUACUGGGCGUAAAGCGUGCGCAGGCGGCUUUGCAAGACAGAUGUGAAAUCCCCGGGCUCAACCUGGGAACUGCAUUUGUGACUGCAUGGCUUGAGUGCGGCAGAGGGGGAUGGAAUUCCGCGUGUAGCAGUGAAAUGCGUAGAUAUGCGGAGGAACACCGAUGGCGAAGGCAAUCCCCUGGGCCGGCACUGACGCUCAUGCACGAAAGCGUGGGGAGCAAACAGG
Molecule: ribosomal RNA, 253 nt
Filed under: uncultured bacterium
Lineage: Bacteria
Description: partial 16S ribosomal RNA
Rfam family: Bacterial small subunit ribosomal RNA
Source: RNAcentral